Molecule: ribosomal RNA, 550 nt
Filed under: uncultured bacterium
Lineage: Bacteria
Description: bacterial SSU rRNA
Rfam family: Bacterial small subunit ribosomal RNA
Source: RNAcentral
UAGGGAAUCUUCGGCAAUGGACGGAAGUCUGACCGAGCAACGCCGCGUGAGUGAAGAAGGUUUUCGGAUCGUAAAGCUCUGUUGUAAGAGAAGAACGAGUGUGAGAGUGGAAAGUUCACACUGUGACGGUAUCUUACCAGAAAGGGACGGCUAACUACGUGCCAGCAGCCGCGGUAAUACGUAGGUCCCGAGCGUUGUCCGGAUUUAUUGGGCGUAAAGCGAGCGCAGGCGGUUAGAUAAGUCUGAAGUUAAAGGCUGUGGCUUAACCAUAGUACGCUUUGGAAACUGUUUAACUUGAGUGCAAGAGGGGAGAGUGGAAUUCCAUGUGUAGCGGUGAAAUGCGUAGAUAUAUGGAGGAACACCGGUGGUGAAAGCGGCUCUCUGGCUUGUAACUGACGCUGAGGCUCGAAAGCGUGGGGAGCAAACAGGAUUAGAUACCCUGGUAGUCCACGCCGUAAACGAUGAGUGCUAGGUGUUAGACCCUUUCCGGGGUUUAGUGCCGCAGCUAACGCAUUAAGCACUCCGCCUGGGGAGUACGACCGCAAGGUUG